RNAcentral lists this ribosomal RNA (450 nucleotides) under uncultured bacterium. Its description in RNAcentral is "partial 16S ribosomal RNA". It matches the Rfam family "Bacterial small subunit ribosomal RNA", at positions 354 to 796 of the family's 1533-position model. The record is from RNAcentral.
GUGGGGAAUUUUGGACAAUGGGCGAAAGCCUGAUCCAGCCAUGCCGCGUGCAGGAUGAAGGCCUUCGGGUUGUAAACUGCUUUUGUACGGAACGAAAAGACUCUGGUUAAUACCUGGGGUCCAUGACGGUACCGUAAGAAUAAGCACCGGCUAACUACGUGCCAGCAGCCGCGGUAAUACGUAGGGUGCAAGCGUUAAUCGGAAUUACUGGGCGUAAAGCGUGCGCAGGCGGUUAUAUAAGACAGAUGUGAAAUCCCCGGGCUCAACCUGGGAACUGCAUUUGUGACUGUAUAGCUAGAGUACGGCAGAGGGGGAUGGAAUUCCGCGUGUAGCAGUGAAAUGCGUAGAUAUGCGGAGGAACACCGAUGGCGAAGGCAAUCCCCUGGGCCUGUACUGACGCUCAUGCACGAAAGCGUGGGGAACAAACAGGAUUAGAAACCCUUGUAGUCC